Molecule: ribosomal RNA, 503 nt
Filed under: uncultured bacterium
Lineage: Bacteria
Description: partial 16S ribosomal RNA
Rfam family: Bacterial small subunit ribosomal RNA
Source: RNAcentral
AUUGAACGCUGGCGGCAGGCUUAACACAUGCAAGUCGAGCGGGGUGAUGGUGCUUGCACUAUCACUUAGCGGCGGACGGGUGAGUAAUGCUUAGGAAUCUGCCUAUUAGUGGGGGACAACAUCUCGAAAGGGAUGCUAAUACCGCAUACGUCCUACGGGAGAAAGCAGGGGAUCACUUGUGACCUUGCGCUAAUAGAUGAGCCUACGUCGGAUUAGCCAGUUGGUGGGGUAAAGGCCUACCAAGGCGACGAUCUGUAGCGGGUCUGAGAGGAUGAUCCGCCACACUGGGACUGAGACACGGCCCAGACUCCUACGGGAGGCAGCAGUGGGGAAUAUUGGACAAUGGGGGGAACCCUGAUCCAGCCAUGCCGCGUGUGUGAAGAAGGCCUUAUGGUUGUAAAGCACUUUAAGCGAGGAGGAGGCUCUUUUGGUUAAUACCCAAGAUGAGUGGACGUUACUCGCAGAAUAAGCACCGGCUAACUCUGUGCCAGCAGCCGCAGUAA